CCAAUAGCGUAUAUUAAAGUUGCUGCAGUUAAAAAAGCUCGUAGUUGAAUUUCGGGACCAAUAUGUCGGUCGUGCCUCGGUACGUACUGGCAUUAUUGGUUUCUCCCUUCUGAAGAACCUUGAUGUCAUUAAUUUGGUGUCUUGGGGAAUCAGGACUGUUACUUUGAAAAAAUUAGAGUGUUUAAAGCAGGCUCGCGCUUGAAUACAUUAGCAUGGAAUACUGAAAUAGGACGUUUGAUUCUAUUUUGUUGGUUUCUAGGAUCGACGUAAUGAUUAAUAGGGAUAGUUGGGGGCAUUAGUAUUUAAUUGUCAGAGGUGAAAUUCUUGGAUUUAUUGAAGACUAACUACUGCGAAAGCAUUUGCCAAGGAUGUUUUCAUUAAUCAAGAACGAAAGUUAGGGGAUCGAAGACGAUCAGAUACCGUCGUAGUCUUAACCAUAAACUAUGCCGACUAGGGAUCGGAUGAUGUUAAUCUUUUAAUGACUCAUUCGGCGCCUUACG
Molecule: ribosomal RNA, 500 nt
Filed under: uncultured Glomeromycotina
Lineage: Eukaryota; Fungi; Glomeromycota
Description: partial small subunit ribosomal RNA
Rfam family: Eukaryotic small subunit ribosomal RNA
Source: RNAcentral